Molecule: ribosomal RNA, 427 nt
Filed under: uncultured bacterium
Lineage: Bacteria
Description: partial 16S ribosomal RNA
Rfam family: Bacterial small subunit ribosomal RNA
Source: RNAcentral
UGGGGAAUAUUGCACAAUGGGCGCAAGCCUGAUGCAGCCAUGCCGCGUGUAUGAAGAAGGCAUUCGGGUUGUAAAGUACUUUCAGCGGGGAGGAAGGCGAUAAGGUUAAUAACCUUGUCGAUUGACGUUACCCGCAGAAGAAGCACCGGCUAACUCCGUGCCAGCAGCCGCGGUAAUACGGAGGGUGCAAGCGUUAAUCGGAAUUACUGGGCGUAAAGCGCACGCAGGCGGUCUGUCAAGUCGGAUGUGAAAUCCCCGGGCUCAACCUGGGAACUGCAUUCGAAACUGGCAGGCUAGAGUCUUGUAGAGGGGGGUAGAAUUCCAGGUGUAGCGGUGAAAUGCGUAGAGAUCUGGAGGAAUACCGGUGGCGAAGGCGGCCCCCUGGACAAAGACUGACGCUCAGGUGCGAAAGCGUGGGGAUCAAACA